This 253-nucleotide ribosomal RNA is filed under the name uncultured bacterium. Its description in RNAcentral is "partial 16S ribosomal RNA". It matches the Rfam family "Bacterial small subunit ribosomal RNA", at positions 524 to 776 of the family's 1533-position model. The record is from RNAcentral.
UACGAAGGGGGCUAGCGUUGCUCGGAAUCACUGGGCGUAAAGGGCACGUAGGCGGCCAUUCAAGUCAGAGGUGAAAGCCCAGGGCUUAACCCUGGAAUUGCCUUUGAUACUGUUUGGCUUGAGACCGGAAGAGGUAAGUGGAACUGCGAGUGUAGAGGUGAAAUUCGUAGAUAUUCGCAAGAACACCAGUGGCGAAGGCGGCUUACUGGUCCGGUUCUGACGCUGAGGCGCGAAAGCGUGGGGAGCAAACAGG